RNAcentral lists this ribosomal RNA (584 nucleotides) under Saccharomyces cerevisiae (brewer's yeast). Its description in RNAcentral is "partial large subunit ribosomal RNA". It matches the Rfam family "Eukaryotic large subunit ribosomal RNA", at positions 73 to 664 of the family's 3401-position model. The record is from RNAcentral. Lineage: Eukaryota; Fungi; Ascomycota; Saccharomycetes; Saccharomycetales; Saccharomycetaceae.
UUUGCCCUUAGUAACGGCGAGUGAAGCGGCAAAAGCUCAAAUUUGAAAUCUGGUACCUUCGGUGCCCGAGUUGUAAUUUGGAGAGGGCAACUUUGGGGCCGUUCCUUGUCUAUGUUCCUUGGAACAGGACGUCAUAGAGGGUGAGAAUCCCGUGUGGCGAGGAGUGCGGUUCUUUGUAAAGUGCCUUCGAAGAGUCGAGUUGUUUGGGAAUGCAGCUCUAAGUGGGUGGUAAAUUCCAUCUAAAGCUAAAUAUUGGCGAGAGACCGAUAGCGAACAAGUACAGUGAUGGAAAGAUGAAAAGAACUUUGAAAAGAGAGUGAAAAAGUACGUGAAAUUGUUGAAAGGGAAGGGCAUUUGAUCAGACAUGGUGUUUUGUGCCCUCUGCUCCUUGUGGGUAGGGGAAUCUCGCAUUUCACUGGGCCAGCAUCAGUUUUGGUGGCAGGAUAAAUCCAUAGGAAUGUAGCUUGCCUCGGUAAGUAUUAUAGCCUGUGGGAAUACUGCCAGCUGGGACUGAGGACUGCGACGUAAGUCAAGGAUGCUGGCAUAAUGGUUAUAUGCCGCCCGUCUUGAACCAACGGGACCCA